CCUACGGGUGGCAGCAGUGGGGGAUAUUGCACAAUGGGGGAAACCCUGAUGCAGCGACGCCGCGUGGGCGAAGAAGUAUUUCGGUAUGUAAAGCCCUAUCAGCAGGGAAGAAGAAAUGACGGUACCUGAGUAAGAAGCACCGGCUAAAUACGUGCCAGCAGCCGCGGUAAUACGUAUGGUGCAAGCGUUAUCCGGAUUUACUGGGUGUAAAGGGAGCGUAGACGGCGCUGCAAGUCCGGAGUGAAAGUCCAUGGCUUAACCAUGGUACUGCUCUGGAAACUGUGGAGCUUGAGUGCGGGAGGGGCAGGCGGAAUUCCUAGUGUAGCGGUGAAAUGCGUAGAUAUUAGGAGGAACACCGGCGGCGAAGGCGGCCUGCUGGACCGUAACUGACGUUGAGGCUCGAAAGCGUGGGGAGCAAACAGGAUUAGAUACCCUUGUAGUC
RNAcentral lists this ribosomal RNA (442 nucleotides) under uncultured bacterium. Its description in RNAcentral is "partial 16S ribosomal RNA". It matches the Rfam family "Bacterial small subunit ribosomal RNA", at positions 338 to 795 of the family's 1533-position model. The record is from RNAcentral.